AGGACGAACGCUGGCGGCGUGCUUAACACAUGCAAGUCGAGCGGAAAGGCCCUUCGGGGUACUCGAGCGGCGAACGGGUGAGUAACACGUGAGUAAUCUGCCCCUAGCUCUGGGAUAGCUCCGGGAAACCGGGAUUAAUACCGGAUACGACCACUUUAGACAUCUGUUGUGGUGGAAAGAAUUUUGGCUAGGGAUGAGCUCGCGGCCUAUCAGCUUGUUGGUGGGGUAACGGCCUACCAAAGCGACGACGGGUA
This 254-nucleotide ribosomal RNA is filed under the name uncultured bacterium. RNAcentral's name for it is "partial small subunit ribosomal RNA". It matches the Rfam family "Bacterial small subunit ribosomal RNA", at positions 26 to 285 of the family's 1533-position model. The record is from RNAcentral.